This is a small nucleolar RNA of Rattus norvegicus (Norway rat), 158 nucleotides long. The record is from Ensembl. Lineage: Eukaryota; Metazoa; Chordata; Mammalia; Rodentia; Muridae.
GUUAGAAUUUUUGAGAUGGGUAAGUGGCCCCACCCCUCAGCCAGGAGCCAUGCCUAUCCACUGAAUAUGUUAAGAUUAAGAAUUAUAGCAUCUGCUGGCUGGGGAAAAAGAUUGGAUAGAAAACAUUAUUCUAUUCAUUUACUCCCCAGCCUACAAAU